Molecule: ribosomal RNA, 253 nt
Filed under: uncultured bacterium
Lineage: Bacteria
Description: partial 16S ribosomal RNA
Rfam family: Bacterial small subunit ribosomal RNA
Source: RNAcentral
UACAGAGGUCUCAAGCGUUGUUCGGAUUCAUUGGGCGUAAAGGGUGCGUAGGUGGCGCCGUAAGUCAGGUGUGAAAUUUCGGAGCUUAACUCCGAAACUGCAUUUGAUACUGCGGUGCUUGAGGACUGGAGAGGAGACUGGAAUUCACGGUGUAGCAGUGAAAUGCGUAGAUAUCGUGAGGAAGACCAGUGGCGAAGGCGGGUCUCUGGGCCGUAACUGACGCUGAGGAGCGAAAGCAUGGGGAGCGAACAGG